GCCAAUUUGAUUACAAAUUGCGAAUGUCAAACAAAAUUGUAAAAAGUUAAUAAAAGAAUAUGUGAAAUAUUUUUGCGAAAUGCAUUUAUUAUUGGAAAAUAGUGUUAAUUAAGCUUUUUUAUAUGUAUUGUCCAAAGCAAAUACACAGAAUAUAGUGAAUUAAGUGCACAAAUCGCAUAAACGCAAAAGGAGUCACAGAAGCAGACAUAACCCUUUAUAUGCGUAGACACAAGCAACCAUUAUUCGACUGAUUAACUACAACAAUUUUUCAGAAUAACAACAAAAAAAACGGCAAUUAAAAUUUGAGAACGAAACGAGUGUCAAAAAAAUGCGGCUUAUGAUAAAUAGUUUAAGAUGCUCGAAAACCUAAUAUCCAAGUGACAAAAAUUCUAUUAUUUGAACAUCACCCCCCCCUACAUUAUCAAUAGCAUGACUAGCUAAACGCGAGAAGCAUCAUUGGCCACACUUAAUUUACGGCAUCGCGUGUAAAGUCAAAAAAGCAAUUGAUCAGAAUAAAAGCAAGCGAUAAAAGCUUUCGAUAAGUCAAUUCAGCUGCAUCAACAACAUUUACAAAGCAAUAAGUUAUUGGAAAUAUUCAAAAUCCCCAGAAGCUUACUUCCGCAAACAGCUCCCAAUAAUUCAAAUUUCAUGUCUCCUGCUGAAAACUCUUUAAACGCAAUAGAUUUCUUAAUAAAAAUGGAAGAAGUUGUUUGAAUUUUGGGUCUCCAGCUGUAAUGUAAAGAUAAAACUAACAUAUUUCAUAACAAAAAUGGAAGAUGUUAAUCGCAUUAAUCGAUUCCCGGGUCUCCAGCUAAAAAUUUCUCCAAACACAAAAGAUUUCAUAAGAAAAAUGAACGAAGUUUCCAGGUUAAAAGUGCUUUAAAACCAACAGAUUUCAUAACAAAAAUAAAGAAAGUUGAGCGAAAAAAGAAGAAAUUAUGAGAACUAUGCCAUCUUGCUGUAAUUUUCCGAAAUUCAGUCUCUGCAGAAGCAGAAGAAGAGGAUUAGAAGCACCUCUGUAGAAGAAGCAUUUCUUAUAAGCUUAAUAAAAUCC
This is a non-coding RNA of Bactrocera oleae (olive fruit fly), 1054 nucleotides long. Lineage: Eukaryota; Metazoa; Arthropoda; Insecta; Diptera; Tephritidae. The record is from RefSeq and is a predicted model, not a curated record.